AACGAACGCUGGCGGCGUGCCUAACACAUGCAAGUCGAACGAGAAAGUUUCCUUCGGGAAACCAGUAAAGUGGCGCAAGGGUGAGUAACACGUGAAUAAUCUACCUAUGAAUUCGGGAUAACUCGACGAAAGUUGCGCUAAUACCGGAUAAGACCACAUCUCUUAUGUGAUGUGGCCAAAGGAGUCUCAAACUUCGUUUAUAGAUGAGUUCGCGGACCAUUAGCUUGUUGGCGGGGUAAUAGCCACCAAGGCUACGAUGGAUAGCCGGCCUGAGAGGGUGAUCGGCCACACUGGAACUGAGACACGGCCCAGACUCCUACGGGAGGCAGCAGUGGGGAAUAUUGGACAAUGGGCGAAAGCCUGAUCCAGCCACGCCGCGUGAGUGAUG
Molecule: ribosomal RNA, 388 nt
Filed under: uncultured Nitrospina sp.
Lineage: Bacteria; Pseudomonadati; Nitrospinota; Nitrospinia; Nitrospinales; Nitrospinaceae
Description: bacterial SSU rRNA
Rfam family: Bacterial small subunit ribosomal RNA
Source: RNAcentral